Molecule: long non-coding RNA, 2936 nt
Filed under: Homo sapiens (human)
Lineage: Eukaryota; Metazoa; Chordata; Mammalia; Primates; Hominidae
Description: HSALNT0238668
Source: RNAcentral
UAAAAGUAUAAUUUUGAAAUUUUAAUUUAAACAAAUGGGAUAGGGAAAUAGGUAGAAAAUUAAUUUUGACUAGUUCUUUGGUAAGCCAGUACAAUAAUAUUGAAAAUCAAAAGUAAAAAAGCUGAAAAGGAUAUAAAUAACAUGGUCAAUAACUUUAUCUAAAAGUAUACAAAUGUACAUUCAACAAAGAAAUAUAGAUUUUGUCAUGUUUUCAAAUGUAGGUCAUGAAUUAGACAACAAAGGAGUAAUCAAUGUAUUCUAAACCAUCAAUAUCAUAUUGUAUUCCUCAAAGCCAGCAACAAUUAAAAUUUUCAGAUAUUUGGAAAUCACUAAGCCCAUUAUUAAGUAAUCUUGAAGUUAGAAAGAAAACAAUAGGUGAAUUAUGAAAACAAUGUAGUAUAAUGAUAAAUACCUUUAGAUAUGCAAGUUUUUGAGAAUGCAUUUAAAACAGAAAUUGGAGGUAUAUUUCUAACUUUAAGUACAUUUUUUAGAAAAAACUGAAAAUCUAAUAAAACAACUAAAUCAUCCAUCUGAAAACCUAGAAAAAGCAUACAAGUAAACAAAAAGCAUAACAAAUUUAAGAAACAAACUAAGAAACAACAGAAGACAAAAUAUUAAAAUAAUUUUUGAUAUUAGUAGCAACACUAAUUAAGAACAUAAGGUAUGCAGAUGAAACAGAAUUUUGAAAAAGCUAUUAAUAGAGAUGUAACAGAUAAAAAAUGUGGUCUUCAAAUAGCAGGAAAAAAUUUUUAUCCUGGUUCCUUUCACAAAUUCCUCCAAACUCUCAAAGAUACACAGAAAGCAACAAAUAUGAACAAACAGAAAAUAGAAAAGCACAACAAACUAGACCUGUUCAUUUCACACUCUCCUAUUAGGUUGGUGUAAAAGUUAUUGCGGUUUUUGCCAUUAAAAGUAAUGUCAAAAACAGCAAUAAUUUUCCACCAACCCAAUAACAAUCUUUUGUUUAUAAUUUGCCUUUUUCUGCAUAUGGGACUAAUUCAAGUAUUUAGUUUCCGUUUGGGCAUUAUGAUCAGAAUGGGUUUGUGGGUGGUGGAUAUACAGACUGUUGGCACAAUUUGCUAUGUAUGGUUUGCUCUUAGAUAUCCAGAUAGAGUUACCAGGCAGUAGUCCAUCACCUCUCUGAGUCUGGAGGUCUGAGAACAGGGUGGGUGGGAGAAUAUAGCGAGAACUCUGUGAGGAAUUAGAUAUGGGGGUUACGCCCUUGACCUACGUGUAGCCAGCAAGCCCUAUUCAAUGUGCUGAGUUUAGAGAAAGGCUCAGACAAGGGCCUAGAGGAUGGGCAGGAGAAUCCGCAAGCUUCCCAGGGUUCUGCCUGGGCCAGGGCCUUGCCCAGCACAGCCUUGAAAGGACAGAACUGGGGUCCUGCAGCCCACCUCUGUGGGCACCUGGAACUAUGACCAUCCCACCUGCCCUAGUGUAGACAGGGCCUACAGGAGAUGAAGCCUCCGUUUUCUCCUGUAUAUAAUGUGAGGUGCUUAGAGCAUGAAACCACAGGGUUCCACAUGCUCGGAUAGUGUUUGUUGACCUUGGUUUUUUAUGAAUGACCCUGUGUGUACUGAGACACUUGGAAAAAGCUAUUCACUCUGGGGGUCCUUCAGAGCAGACAGAGGCUUGGUGGUUUGGGUGGAUGAGGAUUUGGGAUAGGACAGAAUGUGCCCAGGCACUGGACCCUGUGUCAAAAGUCUCGGAACAUGAUCAAACCUCAUUUGGAAGUUGGGGUAAAUUGCUGCCCUGGCUGUGGUGAGGACACCUCGAGAGUGAACUUUACACCCCAGGAACUGGAGGCAAAGAGGGGACAAGAGAGACUGCUGAGGUCCUUCUUACUGCCCUUGGAGCCUGCAGAUCCUGCUCCUCUGCCUCCUGGGAACCUGGAGAGCCACUGACUUGAGGAAUCUUAAAUGCAGGUCCCUGUUUUGUUCUGUGAUGCUCCUGCCUCAGGCUGCAGUGCUGAUGCUGGCUAUGGGGUGGGUGGGAGGACAGUGUUCUGUGUUCCUGGUGCCCACUGAGCUGUUCUCAUGCAUCUGGAUCCAGGGGAGAGUCAUGCUGAGGUCAUGCAGUUCCUGUUCUUAUGAAUGAUCUCCACAUUAUGAGGUGGCCAGAAGCAGGAAGGGGCAUUUGACAUCCUCCCAUUUAUUCACUCAGCAACUCUGCCCUUAGCAUUAGUCUUGUGUGCCAGGUGCCCUGGUGGGCCCAGCAUAUGGUACUGAAAAUGUCCACGUGGUCCCUGACCCUCAGGGGUUCACAGUCUGAGGACAGGUAGACAUCAAGCCCCAAGUUGAUACCUAGGUGUCGGAUGGACAUCACGCCCCAGAUGGACAGCCCAGCCAGAGGUAGACUUCAGGUCCCAAAUGGAAAUUUGGCCGUAGGUAGAUAUCUGGCCACUGGUGGAUAGCCAGUCCCAGGUGGACAUCAGGCUCCAGGUUGACAUCAGUCCCCAAUAGGAUAUCUAGGCCCCAGGUGGAUACCCACUGCGUACUUGUAAAUUGUCAAGACUGUUUUUUUUUUUUAAAGCAAGUGAGAGCUAUCAUAAAACAUGAUAACUUUUAGUAGAUUUUGAAUAUUCCUAAACUCCAUGAGAAAUCAUAAUAUUUUAAAAAUCAGCGUGUAUAUGGAAUGAGUAUUUUUAAAUGUAUCUUUCAUGUUAAAGGAUUUAGAAUAAAAUGUUACAAAAGUUAUCUGUGUUAUUCGUAGAAAAUGUAGACAAUGAAAAAAUCAGAGACUAAAAAUACCUAUAUUUUUGGCUAUGAGAUAAUCGCUGCUAUGGCACAUUCCUUCUAACCUUAUUGCCAUAGAUUUUUUAUACCUAAUAUUGAUUUUAUGCCACACAUUUCAUUACAUAUGCAAUGGAGUAUUACUUAUUCAUUACUAAGUCACAAAGAGUUUGAUUGUGUGUAUAUUUAAAAAGGCAAAGGAGA